GACGAACGCUGGCGGCGUGCUUAACACAUGCAAGUCGAACGGAAAGGCGCGGCGCUUGUGGGGUGCUCGAGUGGCGAACGGGGGAGUAACACGUGAGUAACCUGCCCUUGACUGUGGGAUAACAUCAGGAAACUGGGGCGAAUACAGGAUAGGAGCUCCUGCUGCAUGGUGGGGGUUGGAAAGAUUCGGCGGUGGGGGAUGGACUCGCGGCUUAUCAGCUUGUUGGUGGGGUAGUGGUUGACCAAGGUUUUGACGGGUAGCCGGCCUGGGAGGGUGGCCGGCCACCUUGGGCCUGCGAUAGGCACCAGAAUCCAACGGGAGGCAGCAGGGGGAAACCUUGCACAACGGGCGGACGCCAGUUGCGGAGAUGCCGCGUGCGGGAAGCCGGCUUUCGGGUUGUAAACAGAUUUCGAAUGUACUGAAGCGUGAGUGACGGUAAUGGGUCAAGAAGCACCGGCUAACUACGUG
RNAcentral lists this ribosomal RNA (468 nucleotides) under uncultured bacterium. Its description in RNAcentral is "partial 16S ribosomal RNA". It matches the Rfam family "Bacterial small subunit ribosomal RNA", at positions 28 to 507 of the family's 1533-position model. The record is from RNAcentral.